Molecule: ribosomal RNA, 429 nt
Filed under: Bacteroidota bacterium
Lineage: Bacteria; Pseudomonadati; Bacteroidota
Description: Bacteroidetes bacterium partial 16S ribosomal RNA
Rfam family: Bacterial small subunit ribosomal RNA
Source: RNAcentral
UAGGGAAUCUUCGGCAAUGGGGGGAACCCUGACCGAGCAACGCCGCGUGAGUGAAGAAGGUUUUCGGAUCGUAAAGCUCUGUUGUUAAGGAAGAACGAGUGUGAGAAUGGAAAGUUCAUGCUGUGACGGUACUUAACCAGAAAGGGACGGCUAACUACGUGCCAGCAGCCGCGGUAAUACGUAGGUCCCGAGCGUUGUCCGGAUUUAUUGGGCGUAAAGCGAGCGCAGGCGGUUAGAAAAGUCUGAAGUGAAAGGCAGUGGCUCAACCAUUGUAGGCUUUGGAAACUGUUUAACUGGAGUGCAGAAGGGGAGGGUGGAAUUCCAUGUGUAGCGGUGAAAUGCGUAGAUAUAUGGAGGAACACCGGUGGCGAAAGCGGCUCUCUGGUCUGUAACUGACGCUGAGGCUCGAAAGCGUGGGGAGCGAACAGG